Molecule: ribosomal RNA, 29 nt
Filed under: Keratoisididae sp. NIN2061
Lineage: Eukaryota; Metazoa; Cnidaria; Anthozoa; Scleralcyonacea; Keratoisididae
Description: partial 16S ribosomal RNA
Source: RNAcentral
AGUCUAGGGUCUAUCGUWAAGGACGUGAA